RNAcentral lists this ribosomal RNA (470 nucleotides) under Neogloboquadrina incompta. RNAcentral's name for it is "bacterial SSU rRNA". It matches the Rfam family "Eukaryotic small subunit ribosomal RNA", at positions 1238 to 1470 of the family's 1831-position model. The record is from RNAcentral. Lineage: Eukaryota; Foraminifera; Rotaliida; Globorotaliidae.
GAUUGACAGGAAGUAUCGUCUUUUGAAAUCUUUAAGUACAUGUCGUUUCUAAUGACAUCUUUUAGAUGAAUGAUUCGUGUAAAUAUGCUAGUUCUUUCAUGAUUAUGUGAUAGGUGGUGCAUGGCCGUUCUUAGUUCGUGGAGUGAUCUGUCUGCUUAAUUGCGUUUCACUAUGGCCCCAAAGUUAGCAAGUUAUCCAAUCAUGACCUUCGUCGACCCCUCACCUUUGAGUGCGCGUCCUAGCUUAGAGUACAUGGUGUAAAUGGACUUGUUUUGGGUACCCAGAAAGCAACGAACGUGACCGCAACGUCUUGUUGUCUCUCUUUUGACAGUUAUGGGUUAUCCCAGUCAUGUGCUUAUACUUUUAUGUGUAAAUACGUACGACACAGAGACUAGAUACCAAACUAGGCGUACCGCUGUAUCAUUUCUUUAAACCAGAGGAAGGUUGCGGCAAUAACAGGUCUGUGAUGC